This is a long non-coding RNA of Sphaeramia orbicularis (orbiculate cardinalfish), 3452 nucleotides long. RefSeq lists it as uncharacterized. The transcript is spliced from 2 exons. Lineage: Eukaryota; Metazoa; Chordata; Actinopteri; Kurtiformes; Apogonidae. The record is from RefSeq and is a predicted model, not a curated record.
GUUCAGGUGCCUGUGUUGCGCUGGGACAACUCAAACUCGUAGAUGUCAUUAGUGGUUCAGGUGAAGGGGGCGUGGACAACUCAGACUCAUGGACACACAGGUGAAGCAUGAAGGCAGUGUGGGGGAUUAGAAUAGAAUGACUCAUAAACGAACGGCUCUCAAUGAGUCGGUUCUUAUCGUUCACUGAAAAGAGCCGUUCAAAAGACUUGACUCGUCCGUGAACGUCACACUGCUGGUGCCUGUCUGAGUGAGUCAGGACAGAUAACAGCUGUUCGAUCUCAGUGCACAGUAAUGCACCACAUUUCACUGACGCUAACGGUAACAGAGGUAUAACAUUUCAAAUGGUAAUUCAUGAGAUUAGCCGUUACUGGAAAACAAUGAUGGAGUGGGUAACGCCGUUAUUUUUAAUGCUGUUAUUCCCAACACUGGUCAUUGGCCUGGUUAAAAAAAACCAAAAAAACAUAGCAAGUUAUGAUGUUAUUGGCCAAAAGCUAUUACGUUAUCAGUUCAGGACUUUUUUACAUUAUUGUCCAGAUAUUACGUUAUUGGCUUAUUACAUUUUAAAAACAGCUAAUUUAUGACGUUAUGGGCUGUUCUUCGGUUAUGGGUUGUUAUUCCAUUAUUGGCUUCUACAAUGGGAAAUGUUGAGAUGUACAUGUUUGUUUAGACUCAUUUAAAACCGAACUGAAGUGAAAAAUGAAAAUGUGAAAAGGUGUAUAUUUACAUAAAUGUAAUGUAAUACAUUGGUGUGUCCUAUAGUCCUCUAGAGUAAGACUAAAAAACAAGGAAGAUUUGUACUGUAGCACUUUCUUUGAUGUGUACUGUAUUAGUUCAUCUUCUACAUGUAAAGUACUGUAUGAAUAUUCAUUACUUGCCUUGUACUGUUUGAAACAAUGCUAAGUUUAGAAAUGGUAACCAAGAAAACAAAAGUUUUAGAGUGUAUGCAUGCCAAUGGUUGGGUCCCCGUAUAAUAAUAGGAAAACUAUAAUAUGAAAAAAUGGUGCUAUGUUACAUUAUAAAGGUGCUUUCCCGGACCCCAGCUGAAUGCAUGCAAAGAGGAACUAUCAAAAGUAUGAAAAAAAGAGAAAAUUGAUGUCCUACUGCUGUUCUCAUAUAGUGCUGCUUCCCAAAGAUGUCGGAAAUUUGGAAAUACCAACUUUCUACGUGUUAAAAUGCAACAGCCCUUAAAGUUGGAUUCCUAACUCUGAAAGUCCUGUUGAAACCUUCUGAUACGUUUGACAUCUCACGAAGUUUGACGGACAGUUUCAGUGUUGGAUUUUCAGCUAAAUGUAAGCACACAGUGUCACCUCCACGCCGUCGAUUAGCCUCCAAACACGAUAAACUGGUGGGAAGUAGCAUUUUAACUCAAAUGGAGAAAGUUUUUACAUCGUCCUUGUUCUUCCAUGGUUUUUCUGAGCUCCAUCACCAGAACCCAUGGAGGCGGUACUAGAGGCCUGGCCCUGCCCUACUCUGCUGGGAUUGGUUGGUUGUUACUAUGUUGACAUGUGUGCUAAUACCGCUAGCAUGCUAAUGUUCUGACUGUGAUUAGCACCUGACUUUAAGGAACUAAAUCACGAUGAAGGCAUUUAGCCUCUGCUUGUAACAUGUCCAUUAUCUAUCGGUAAAACUUUUAAUCGUUAUAAUUAUAUCUCUACUAGGGAUAAAACUGUCUCAGAAGUGAAAGUGGCACCAUUACAAUGUGGUUUUGUCCAUUAUUGAAAUGACUGAAGAGUAAAAACAGCAAAUACACAUUUUCCAAAAGCUUGAACUAUGGCAUUUUGGUGUUUUAACAUCAGAAAUUACAUAAAACUUUAUAAAAAAAUAGACCUGUGAUGAAUUACUGAAACAUCCAGGUCACCAAAUGUUCACUGGGAAAGGUCCAGCCCCCCCCCCCCCCCCCCCCCCGGUGACCCUCCGUAGGAUUAACAGGUCACAGUAAAAUGAAUGAAUAAUUAUAAAAGUAAAUUCUGUUUCAUAGACUGUAAUAUAAUUAAUGAACAGAGUAGCUGUGAUGUUAACCCACAGGUGUCAAACAUGUGGCCUGGGGGCCAAAUCUGGCCCUCCAAAUCUCUAGGCCUAAAUCUAGUCUAACAUUGUCCCUCUUCAAAAAUGUGCAUGCACUUUGGUUGAAAUAAUGACAACAUUUUUUUUUAAAAUCAUACCAAGGUGAAUAUCAAUGCUACAGUUCUUUCUUUCUUUCUUUCUUUCUUUCUUUCUUUCUUUCUUUCUUUCUUUUUUUUUUUUUUUCCAAAUUCAAUAAGACAUCCUAGUUUUUCAUUGUCCAUAGUUUGUCUGUUUCAAAAUAAGGCAAUUAACAUGAAAAUGGAGGUUUUUAUCCAACAAUAUUACAUUAAAACAGCAAAAAUCUUGAAUGUUUUCUUUAUUAUAGUCGUAUCAUCUCAUAAAUGCACCAAACUUUCCAUUAUUUUAAUGGAAAAGCAAAGUGAAAUAUCAAACUAAUCAGUAAUGGGCUACUGCUGAACAACCUCCUCAUGGUAAAACAUAAAUGAGUUUAGAUCUUUUUUUCAUGGCUCCAGACAGAUUUCUUUCUUCUUUUUCGCAUCCAAAAUGGCUCUUCAGAUUAUAAAGCUUGGCGACCCCUGGUCUAUUUGAAUGCGGGGGGGGGGGGGGGGGGGGGGGGGGGUUAGUAGAGCAGCACCUAGUGGCCAUCAUUGGUAUUACAGCUUUUAUGAUACUCGGACAUCUGCUUCAUCUUGCCUCUUUUUUUGGAUAAAUCGCUGUAAUCUGAGUACAGCCAAAGAGGAUGAAAGCAAAACGGUAACACUGGUGGUUUUUCAACAUCAUGUCACACCUCCACAUGGUAAUAACCAAUCACAGCAGCAGCAGUGUGUCCCUGUGGGCGGAGCCAGUCUAGCACCAGCCCUUGUUUCGUCAGCUGGGAAUUUCAAACUGAAGACUAGAAAUGGAGAAAUGCAGGGCAGGUGGCAGAUUUCCUACCUGAUCACAAAUGCAGAGGUGUAACUGUAAAUAUUGUUACCAGCCUCCAGUUUCAGACGAACAGGAUUAAAGUGAGUCUGUUUACGGCUGAGGAUGAUUCAAUAUGAAGAAGACUGACCGCUGUCGACAAAACCCAGUCAGUCAUGAGGUGUUUUCUAUUUUUAACCAACGAAACAGCGCUCCAAGCGUCUAUUUACAGUUACACUGCCUUUGUGACAAAGGUCUAAAAGAUCUAUAGACAAUCUAAUGACAUAAUUUUGUACUCAUAUAAUUCUUCAGAUGUUUAUGUGUUGAAAUAUUUUUUUAAGUGGGAGAGUUGUACGAAAGCAAACAUGUAUGUGGUCUUAAAGGUCAGCGUUGUAUGAGUUUGGAAAAAUUUGCACUGAUUGUUUGAUGGAAAAGAAUUUGGAAAAUGAAAAAAAGUGUAUGUUUAUUGGUUGUAUUGAUCAUCUUUCUUUUUUUGUUGUUCAUUAAAUGUUUUACAGGAUUAUCAA